GCGGAUGUGGCGGAACUGGCAGACGCACUGGAUUUAGGUUCCAGCGCCGAGAGGCGUGGAGGUUCGAGUCCUCUCAUCCGCACCA
This 85-nucleotide transfer RNA is filed under the name Caulobacteraceae bacterium. RNAcentral describes it as "tRNA-Leu". It matches the Rfam family "tRNA". Rfam says of the family: Transfer RNA (tRNA) molecules are approximately 80 nucleotides in length. Their secondary structure includes four short double-helical elements and three loops (D, anti-codon, and T loops). Lineage: Bacteria; Pseudomonadati; Pseudomonadota; Alphaproteobacteria; Caulobacterales; Caulobacteraceae. RNAcentral also lists the same sequence under 2 other names. The record is from RNAcentral.